This 251-nucleotide ribosomal RNA is filed under the name uncultured bacterium. Its description in RNAcentral is "partial 16S ribosomal RNA". It matches the Rfam family "Bacterial small subunit ribosomal RNA", at positions 525 to 775 of the family's 1533-position model. The record is from RNAcentral.
ACGUAUGGUGCAAGCGUUAUCCGGAUUUACUGGGUGUAAAGGGAACGCAGGCGGUACGGCAAGUCUGAUGUGAAAUCCCGGGGCUCAACCCCGGUACUGCAUUGGAAACUGUCGGACUAGAGUGUCGGAGGGGUAAGUGGAAUUCCUAGUGUAGCGGUGAAAUGCGUAGAUAUUAGGAGGAACACCAGUGGCGAAGGCGGCUUACUGGACGAUUACUGACGCUGAGGCUCGAAAGCGUGGGGAGCAAACAG